RNAcentral lists this ribosomal RNA (534 nucleotides) under Diaspis boisduvalii. RNAcentral's name for it is "partial 28S ribosomal RNA". Lineage: Eukaryota; Metazoa; Arthropoda; Insecta; Hemiptera; Diaspididae. The record is from RNAcentral.
AUCUGGGCGGCGGAAUUCAGGAUGGUCGAGCGAGUCUCGCGCUCGAGCGGCCAUUUGAUAUUUCCGUCGCCGUUGCAGACGUCGCGACCUGUUUGUCGUCGGUCCUUGCUCGGAGGAAUCCGCGAUCGAGUUCGUUGCGGGGCGCGUUUCGGCGUGUCUCGCGACGAAGACGCGGCUCUCUGGCUGACGACGGACAGUAAGCAACGGUGGCCGGCGUGGUGUCUCGCACUCCGCGUCCGGUGCCGGUCAGCGACGAUUUCUUCGGGCCUCUUUCCGACCCGUCUUGAAACACGGACCAAGGAGUCUAACAUGCGCGCGAGUCGCGGGGUUUCGAGCGUGCCACGGUGCGCUCGUUACUUCCGAAACCCGUACGUUGAAGGCGUAAUGAAAGUGAACAGGGAAGAUGGCGUUCCGAGUCCACGAACCGUGAUCGAGUAUCGCGGCCGGACGCCCGCACUCCCGGGGCGUCUCAAUGGCUCGUCGCGGAUGCGGACGGUCGUUCUUCGGGGCGGCCGUCGGUCUGCGACGGACCGA